This 468-nucleotide ribosomal RNA is filed under the name uncultured bacterium. Its description in RNAcentral is "partial 16S ribosomal RNA". It matches the Rfam family "Bacterial small subunit ribosomal RNA", at positions 28 to 507 of the family's 1533-position model. The record is from RNAcentral.
GACGAACGCUGGCGGCGUGCUUAACACAUGCCAGUCGAACGGAAAGGCCCUGCUUUUGUGGGGUGCUCGAGUGGCGAACGGGUGAGUAACACGUGAGUAACCUGCCCUUGACUUUGGGAUAACUUCAGGAAACUGGGGCUAAUACCGGAUAGGAGCUCCUGCUGCAUGGUGGGGGUUGGAAAGUUUCGGCGGUUGGGGAUGGACUCGCGGCUUAUCAGCUUGUUGGUGGGGUAGUGGCUUACCAAGGCUUUGACGGUUAGCCGGCCUGAGAGGGUGACCGGCCACAUUGGGACUGAGAUACGGCCCAGACUCCUACGGGAGGCAGCAGUGGGGAAUAUUGCACAAUGGGCGGAAGCCUGAUGCAGCAACGCCGCGUGCGGGAUGACGGCCUUCGGGUUGUAAACCGCUUUCGCCUGUGACGAAGCGUGAGUGACGGUAAUGGGUAAAGAAGCACCGGCUAACUACGUG